AGGACGAACGCUAGCGGCAGGCCUAAUACAUGCAAGCCGAACGGUAAUCCUGACGGCAACGUCAGGACUAGAGUGGCGUAAGGGUGCGUAACACGUAUGCAAUCUGCCCUCAACUGGGGGAUAGCUCCCGGAAACGGGAAUUAAUACCCCAUAACAUGCCAGCGAGGCAUCUUGCUGGCAUUAAAGCUACGGCGGUUGAGGAUGAGCAUGCGUCUGAUUAGCUAGUUGGUGAGGUAACGGCUCACCAAGGCGAUGAUCAGUAGGGGAACUGAGAGGUUGAUCCCCCACACUGGCACUGAGACACGGGCCAGACUCCUACGGGAGGCAGCAGUAGGGAAUAUUGGACAAUGGGUGCGAGCCUGAUCCAGCCAUGCCGCGUGCAGGAAGAAGGCCUUCUGGGUUGUAAACUGCUUUUAUCUGGGAAUAAAAAACCCGUGCGCGGGGAACUGAAGGUACCAGAUGAAUAAGCCACGGCUAACUACGUGCCAGCAGCCGCGGUAAUACGUAGGUGGCGAGCGUUGUCCGGAUUCAUUGGGUUUAAAGGGUGCGUAGGCGGCUGAUUAAGUCAGUGCUGAAAGCCCCCGGCUUAACCGGGGAGGUGGCAUUGAUACUGGUCGGCUUGAGUGCUGUCGAGGCAGGCGGAAUUGACGGUGUAGCGGUGAAAUGCUUAGAUAUCGUCAGGAACACCGAUAGUGAAGACAGCUUGCCAGAGAGCAACUGACGCUGAGGCACGAAAGUGUGGGGAGCAAACAGGAUUAGAUACCCUGGUAGUCCACACUGUAAACGAUGAUGACUCGCUGUUGGCGAUAUACGGUCAGCGGCCAAGAGAAAUCGUUAAGUCAUCCACCUGGGGAGUACGCCGGCAACGGUG
RNAcentral lists this ribosomal RNA (871 nucleotides) under bacterium enrichment culture clone D907-13. RNAcentral describes it as "bacterial SSU rRNA". It matches the Rfam family "Bacterial small subunit ribosomal RNA", at positions 26 to 896 of the family's 1533-position model. RNAcentral also lists the same sequence under 2 other names. The record is from RNAcentral.